UGGAUAAGACAUGCAAGUCGAACGCUGAUUUCAGGGUAGCAAUAUUCUGGAGUCGGAGUGGCGCAAGGGUGCGUAACACGUGGGUAAUUUGCCAUGAAACUCGGGAUAACUUGCUGAAAGGCAAGCUAAUACCGAAUGUGGUGCAGUGAAGGCAUCUUCAUUGGACCGAAGUUGGGGACCGAAAGGCCUGACGUUUCAUGAUAAGCCCGCGGCCUAUCAGCUAGUUGGCGAGGUAACGGUUCACCAAGGCUAAGACGGGUAGCUGGUCUGAGAGGACGACCAGCCACACUGGAACUGAGACACGGUCCAGACAUCUACGGGUGGCAGCAGUCGAGAAUUUUUCACAAUGGGCGCAAGCCUGAUGGAGGGACGCCGCGUGGGGGAUGAAUGGCUUCGGCCCGUAGACCCC
RNAcentral lists this ribosomal RNA (409 nucleotides) under uncultured organism. RNAcentral describes it as "bacterial SSU rRNA". It matches the Rfam family "Bacterial small subunit ribosomal RNA", at positions 45 to 433 of the family's 1533-position model. The record is from RNAcentral.